Molecule: ribosomal RNA, 484 nt
Filed under: uncultured bacterium
Lineage: Bacteria
Description: SSU rRNA
Rfam family: Bacterial small subunit ribosomal RNA
Source: RNAcentral
AGAAUGAACGUUGGCGGCGUGGAUUAGGCAUGCAAGUCGAACGAAUCCCCGGUGGGGGUAACUCUGCCGGGGGGAAGUGGCGAAAGGGGCAGUAAGGCGUGGACAACCUGCCCGGGGGACGGGGAUAGCCCUCCUAACGGAGGGGUAAUACCCGGCGACCUGAGUGCGAGGCAUCUCGCGUUCAGCAAAGGAGUUUCGCCCCCGGAGGGGUUCAUGUGGUAUUAGCUUGUUGGCGGGGUAACGGCCCACCAAGGCUCAGAUGCCUAGCAGGUGUGAGAGCACGACCUGCGCCACUGGCACUGUGACACUGGCCAGACUCCUACGGGAGGCUGCAGUCGAGGAUCUUCGGCAAUGGGCGCAAGCCUGACCGAGCGACGCCGCGUGUGCGAUGAAGGCCUUCGGGUUGUAACCCCUUUCAGUAGGACGAAGCGCAAGUGACGGUACCUACAGAAGAAGCACCGGCCAACUACGUGCCAGCAGCCGC